RNAcentral lists this ribosomal RNA (475 nucleotides) under Streptococcus mitis. Its description in RNAcentral is "bacterial SSU rRNA". It matches the Rfam family "Bacterial small subunit ribosomal RNA", at positions 28 to 489 of the family's 1533-position model. The record is from RNAcentral. Lineage: Bacteria; Bacillati; Bacillota; Bacilli; Lactobacillales; Streptococcaceae.
GACGAACGCUGGCGGCGUGCCUAAUACAUGCAAGUAGAACGCUGAAGGAGGAGCUUGCUUCUCUGGAUGAGAUGCGAACGGGUGAGUAACGCGUAGGUAACCUGCCUGGUAGCGGGGGAUAACUAUUGGAAACGAUAGCUAAUACCGCAUAAUAGUAGAUGUUGCAUGACAUUUGCUUAAAAGGUGCAAUUGCAUCACUACCAGAUGGACCUGCGUUGUAUUAGCUAGUUGGUGAGGUAACGGCUCACCAAGGCGACGAUACAUAGCCGACCUGAGAGGGUGAUCGGCCACACUGGGACUGAGACACGGCCCAGACUCCUACGGGAGGCAGCAGUAGGGAAUCUUCGGCAAUGGGGGGAACCCUGACCGAGCAACGCCGCGUGAGUGAAGAAGGUUUUCGGAUCGUAAAGCUCUGUUGUAAGAGAAGAACGAGUGUGAGAGUGGAAAGUUCACACUGUGACGUAUCUACCAGAAA